CGCCUCUCGGGUCUUAUCCUCUUCCCCCACCGCCCAUUCUACAUCCCACCCAUCUCUCUCCUAGGGGCACACUCAGGAGAGCGACCAUGCGGCGGUGACGUCGGAGAGGAGGCAGGUGGCGGCGGAGACCAGGAAAAUAGUUCACGGUCUCGCAGCUCCACUAGGACCAACGUCGUGGUGUCGAGCGGCGGAGACGAGCGGGUUGUGCCGUCUCCAAGGGCGGGCAGAGAACUCGACGACGAGGGCGUCGAGCUUGAGCCAGGCGAGCGGAGGCGGCGCUACGUGCGGCGGGCGGUGAACUCGGCGACGAGAGCGUCGAACUUGAGUCAGGCGAGCGGAGGCGGCGCUGCGCGCGGCGGGCGGCGAACUCGGCGACGAGGGCAUGUACGCCUCCGGCUUAUGCACCAGCAACUGCUUUGAAAGGAGGCGCGGGUCAACGGAGCGCUGGCGGGGGUGGCCAAUUCACAGGAUCGCGCGGAGAAGGUUGGCGGUGUGAAAGUUUAAGAUGAUGAGCUCGACGUUGCUAUCGUUGGUGGAGGCAUGGUGGGCUUGGCUGUUUGCUUGUGUAGUGUGUAAGUAUUGAUGCCUUCGUGUACUUCUCUUCCUUCGAUUAAAUUGUUCAUGAGGUGAGCUUAGUGUUACGUUUAGGCUGAGAAUCGAUCCCAGCAUUAGUUAUAAAAGGAAACUUGGCACCAUUGGAAUAAAGUUCUCAGAGAUUCUUCCA
Molecule: long non-coding RNA, 724 nt
Organism: Triticum urartu
Lineage: Eukaryota; Viridiplantae; Streptophyta; Magnoliopsida; Poales; Poaceae
Source: RefSeq, a predicted model, not a curated record